GGGGCAGUGGCUUAGUGGUAGAGUGCCUGCCUUGCGCACAUGUGAGGCCUGGGUUCAAUCCUCAGCCCCA
This 70-nucleotide transfer RNA is filed under the name Ictidomys tridecemlineatus (thirteen-lined ground squirrel). RNAcentral describes it as "Spermophilus tridecemlineatus (thirteen-lined ground squirrel) tRNA". It matches the Rfam family "tRNA". Rfam says of the family: Transfer RNA (tRNA) molecules are approximately 80 nucleotides in length. Their secondary structure includes four short double-helical elements and three loops (D, anti-codon, and T loops). Lineage: Eukaryota; Metazoa; Chordata; Mammalia; Rodentia; Sciuridae. The record is from Rfam by way of RNAcentral.